UCAAACACAUAGUGCAUUCAAAUUAAAUGGCUAUAUUUACAAUUAGAUCCGAUGAUAUAUAAUAUUAAAGAGCUCUUACAAAGAAAAUUCCUCUAUACAUGAGUAGGUUCAUAGCCUACUCACCAGUUCACAAGCAUAUAUUUAGACCUUAAACUAAGCACUUCAGAAACAACAUCAUAGUUCUUUGUUGUAUUUGCCAUCGUAACAUAAUGUGAUAUCAUAAAAUCCACUUCUCAAUUGUGUAUGUGCAAGUUUGCUGCGAAGAAUAAUCAUUCAACAUAAAAUACAAAUAAGUCUCCAAUCAUCCACCAAAAACCAUAUGGCAAGGCACACAUGAACUGAUGCAUACAUAAAUAAAAUGAAAGUAAUUUAACAUUGAAAUUAUGUGUUUCCUAUUACAUCAUCUUCAGCAAAAUAAAAAUUAAAUGAUAAAAUUACAUUGGUCAGAUACAGAAGUAGAAAAAUACUUGUGCAUUUUGUUGACCCAAGCUUUUAACCUCACUCGGAUGUUCCAAAGAACCAAAGUAUAAAAUUUUUUUGAGUCGCCUGCAGUUGAGGGGCUGAUUUAUUUUGCUAUAGGGGACAUCUCCUAUUAGUGAUGAUAUAAUUAACUUGAGAUUUAUGCUAUCUCCUGUAUUACUAUCCUCAACAGGAAAUCAACUUGGGAAUAUAAGAGACAAAAAUAAUUUAAAAACAAAGAAGACAUAAGAUCAAAGGAAGAAUUAGACACUGAUAUUUUGUUAAGUAAAGAGCUAUUCUCUUGCCUCUCAAGAAU
Molecule: long non-coding RNA, 775 nt
Filed under: Capsicum annuum
Lineage: Eukaryota; Viridiplantae; Streptophyta; Magnoliopsida; Solanales; Solanaceae
Description: long non-coding RNA (CANN_LNC008022)
Source: RNAcentral